Molecule: non-coding RNA, 784 nt
Organism: Xenopus tropicalis (tropical clawed frog)
Lineage: Eukaryota; Metazoa; Chordata; Amphibia; Anura; Pipidae
Source: the annotation of a RefSeq genome assembly
UAAUUGCCGGUAUCCUGGGACACUGUCAGUCACAUGAGGGGGUGUGGCAUUGGCUCAGAACCAAUGAGACUGCUGCUGAGGCAGCAAAUCAGGGGCCUAUGAGACUCACAUUCUUAUAAUUUGGGGGCCAAACACUCGGCCCCUUCGUCAUUGCAGGAGAAAUGGUGGGGUUUCUGGGCCUGAUUCUGUUGGUCUUUCCAGCCUGUAAGUCUGACCCAAUGGGAGCUGCUCCAUAAGCUUACAAUCUAAUGGAGGUUCUGCUAGGGGUGUAAGGUGCCACAUUUAGAUACAAUUGGGGGGGCAGUACCUAUAGGGGUCCAAUGGGGCUCAGAGAAUUGUGUUUUUGUUGUUCCGCAGGUUUUGGCCAAGUAACGGUGACACAAAGCAAAAGGCUUGUAUUAGUGAGGAGAGGCGGGUCGGUGCUGAUCCCUUGUCACCAGUCUGCCAGCGACUAUUUCAACAUGUUCUGGUACCAACAGAAACCUGGGCAAGGCCUGACGCUCAUGGUCUGGUCAACUGGUGCCAAGGAUGGGAAAAUGGAGGGUGAAUAUGGGGCGAGGUGGCACCUGGAGAGAAAUGACACCCACAAUUCUGAGCUGAACGUGACCGGAGCGGAACCGGACGAUGCUGCCCAGUAUUUCUGCGCUGCGAGUAGCACAGACACAGACAGUGGCGGAACAGCUGGCAUAGAACCCAUUGGGUUGGGAGACACCUACAGGCCGGACUGGGCAUUGCAGCUUGGCAGCUGUGGGGCAUGAAAACUAAAGUGAUAGAAAAAGUCUAA